RNAcentral lists this ribosomal RNA (292 nucleotides) under uncultured bacterium. RNAcentral describes it as "partial 16S ribosomal RNA". The record is from RNAcentral.
GGACUACACGGGUAUCUAAUCCUGUUUGCUCCCCACGCUUUCGCGACUCAGCGUCAGUACCCUCCCAGAUGGCCGCCUUCGCCACCGGUGUUCCUCCCAAUAUCUACGAAUUUCACCUCUACACUGGGAAUUCCGCCAUCCUCGUCGGGACUCAAGCUCGCCAGUUUCGGACGCACUUCCAUGGUUGAGCCAUGGGUUUUCACAACCGACUUAACGAGCCGCCUACUCGCGCUUUACGCCCAAUAAUUCCGAGCAACGUUUGCACCCUCUGUAUUACCGCGGCUGCUGGCAC